RNAcentral lists this ribosomal RNA (427 nucleotides) under uncultured bacterium. RNAcentral's name for it is "bacterial SSU rRNA". It matches the Rfam family "Bacterial small subunit ribosomal RNA", at positions 355 to 774 of the family's 1533-position model. The record is from RNAcentral. RNAcentral also lists the same sequence under 1 other name.
UAGGGAAUCUUCGGCAAUGGGGGGAACCCUGACCGAGCAACGCCGCGUGAGUGAAGAAGGUUUUCGGAUCGUAAAGCUCUGUUGUAAGAGAAGAACGUGUGUGAGAGUGGAAAGUUCACACAGUGACGGUAACUUACCAGAAAGGGACGGCUAACUACGUGCCAGCAGCCGCGGUAAUACGUAGGUCCCGAGCGUUGUCCGGAUUUAUUGGGCGUAAAGCGAGCGCAGGCGGUUUGAUAAGUCUGAAGUAAAAGGCUGUGGCUUAACCAUAGUAUGCUUUGGAAACUGUCAAACUUGAGUGCAGAAGGGGAGAGUGGAAUUCCAUGUGUAGCGGUGAAAUGCGUAGAUAUAUGGAGGAACACCGGUGGCGAAAGCGGCUCUCUGGUCUGUAACUGACGCUGAGGCUCGAAAGCGUGGGGAGCAAACA